Prunus avium (sweet cherry) is the source of this 718-nucleotide non-coding RNA. NCBI's taxonomy places the organism in Eukaryota, Viridiplantae, Streptophyta, Magnoliopsida, Rosales, Rosaceae. The record is from RefSeq and is a predicted model, not a curated record.
UAAAACCCUAUUAAAUUAGGCUAGAAAACCUCAGAAUAAUAGGAACACCAAGUCAAACGCCAAGGAUCUGUGUUGGAUUUGCGACGUCCGCUUGAGCACUUGCACUUUCGCUUGAGCCCCUAGGACUGGGCGGAAAAACGUCUCCCUGCUACUUGAGCGCCUAUAGCUUCUGCUCGAGCACCAGAACCUAGAGAACUGGUCUUCUUUUGCCGUUUCUUCGUCCUCCUUUUGCAUUUAUGAUUGUAAGCUUGCAAUAAUUUCACAACAAGCGCCCUUGUGGAGGAUAGUAAAUAACUGCCAGAAAAACAAUUCUUGAGUUUACUCAGCAAACAACAUUAUAAUAGAUGAGAGAGAAAUCACAUGCGAGAGUAUAAAGUCAAGAAAUUUGGAAUCGAUAAAAAGGAUGUAUCAAAUCUUGUUCAUCUUUGAUGUGAAGCUUAGACAGAGACAGAUGAAGAAAAUCGUGAUGUUCCUUUUGGAAAGGAAAAGUAAAGAAAAUCGUGAUGUUCCUUUUGGAAAGGAAAAGUAAAUUUUUAUGGGUUAGUGAUGAAUUUAGAUGCAUUGGUGCAAACUAGAAACAUGAAUAGGAAGGAAGUUAUAGCUAACCGUGGUGUUAAAGUAUCGUGCAAAUAUGUUGUCGUUUGUAAAACAGAAAUUAAAAAAAUCAUGUUAAGCCUUGAACAUAUCCAUCACAAUAAACAUUUUUUUUUUGUCGAAA